UUUAAAUUAUGACCCUCUUUAAAAUAAACUAGAAUUGGAAUGAUACAGAGAAGAUAAGCAUGGCCCCAUGACACGCAAAUUCAUGAAGCAUUCCGUAUUUAA
This is a small nuclear RNA of Pteropus vampyrus (large flying fox), 102 nucleotides long. The record is from Ensembl. Lineage: Eukaryota; Metazoa; Chordata; Mammalia; Chiroptera; Pteropodidae.